UGGCCUCGAAUCAGGUAGGGAUACCCGCUGAACUUAAGCAUAUCAAUAAGCGGAGGAAAAGAAACCAACAGGGAUUGCCUUAGUAACUGCGAGUGAAGCGGCAAGAGCUCAAAUUUGAAAUCUGGCGCCUUUGGCGUCCGAGUUGUAAUUUGGAGAGGCAUCUUCGGGUGCGGCGCCGGCCUAAGUUCCUUGGAACAGGACGUCAUAGAGGGUGAGAAUCCCGUUCUCGGCUGGCUGUCCGCGUCCAUGUGAAGUGUCUUCGACGAGUCGAGUUGUUUGGGAAUGCAGCUCAAAAUGGGUGGUAAACUCCAUCUAAAGCUAAAUACUGGCGAGAGACCGAUAGCGCACAAGUAGAGUGAUCGAAAGAUGAAAAGCACUUUGAAAAGAGAGUUAAAAAGUACGUGAAAUUGUUGAAAGGGAAGCGCUUGAGACCAGACUCGGCGGGAGGUAUUCAUCGUCCCUUCUGGGGCGUGCACUUGCCUCUCGUCGGGCCAGCAUCGGUUGCGGCGGCGGGAUAAAGACCCGGGGAACGUGGCUGCUCUCGGGCAGUGUUAUAGCCCCGGGUGUCAUGCCGCCUGCUGCGACCGAGGACCGCGC
RNAcentral lists this ribosomal RNA (597 nucleotides) under Desmazierella acicola. RNAcentral's name for it is "eukaryotic LSU rRNA". It matches the Rfam family "Eukaryotic large subunit ribosomal RNA", at positions 1 to 600 of the family's 3401-position model. The record is from RNAcentral. Lineage: Eukaryota; Fungi; Ascomycota; Pezizomycetes; Pezizales; Sarcoscyphaceae.